RNAcentral lists this ribosomal RNA (273 nucleotides) under uncultured bacterium. RNAcentral describes it as "partial 16S ribosomal RNA". It matches the Rfam family "Bacterial small subunit ribosomal RNA", at positions 524 to 796 of the family's 1533-position model. The record is from RNAcentral.
UACGAAGGGGGCAAGCGUUGUUCGGAAUGACUGGGCGUAAAGGGCGCGUAGGCGGUGGUUCAAGUCAGGCGUGAAAGCCCCGGGCUCAACCUGGGAACGGCGCUUGAGACUGGACCGCUCGAGUUCGGGAGAGGAUGGUGGAAUUCCCAGUGUAGAGGUGAAAUUCGUAGAUAUUGGGAAGAACACCGAGGGCGAAGGCAGCCAUCUGGACCGACACUGACGCUGAGGCGCGACAGCGUGGGGAGCAAACAGGAUUAGAAACCCCAGUAGUCC